GGGGGGGGGGUGCGGCGGGCUGCAGGUCAGAGGGUGCUGGGAGCUGGCCCUACCUAGCUGGGCCUGUGCUGAUGCCUGUAGAGCUGAGGUCUAGGGAGCAGGUCCGCUCCCCUGCUAUCCCAGAUGUGGGCGCUUCCCUUCUUCCUCACAGACUGCACCUCAGGUUUACUCUUAGCCUGACAUGGUUCGGAGCUUGCUCUUCCAUGGCCGCCACCAUGUGGGCCCUACUUGCUGCUGUGGGGAACAGAUCAGCCCUGGCCACUUCUGGUGCCUUCUGUUCCCUCUCAAACAUACAGUGUGACUGAAAGGAAAGGUGGUCACUCUCUUGGUGGGGAUGCCCACCUGGUGGGCUCAGCUGGAGGAUGCGUGAACGCGGCUGGUGGCUUUCCAGAGUGUCAACUGGCCCCGCCUCUGUCCUCUUAGUCACAGGGUCUUUUAGGUCCCUUUUAGUCCCAUUCCAGCUCUGGCCUCCCUCCAGGCAGGCCCAGGAAGACAGAGCCUGCUGAGGGUAAAGGUGUGGGAGAUGUGACCUCCCCGAGCUGCCCUGCCGCCCUGGUAUAGGGGGUUAGCCUCCCCAGGAACCACCCCCCCUUAUGUAAUCUGCACAUCACACAGGCGUGACUCCAGGUGCCCGUGGGAGGUAGUAACGCGGGGGUGAGCUCAGGGGCGCAAACAAGCCUCCAAGUUUCCUUGGGUGCCUCUCCUCUUGUUACAUUUCAGCGUCAUCCCGCGUCUGCCAGCUCGGUCACCCACUUGCCUAUUAGAAUAUAUUAACUGACAAUGCAGACUUAAAUAACUUGGGCAGGUGACAGGCUGCAGUGAGGAGCCCUCUGCACCGAACCCUUCCGCAGCAGGCCAAGUGAGUUCAGAGGAGGUGUUUUGGUGGGCAGGGACGGGCAGGGUGCAGCCUGCAGUCUGAGCACACCCAACACCAAGUCUGAAGCGUUGAGAUACGGGUGCCCGUGGCAACAAGGGAAGCCCACCCCAUGGCAGGCACACCCAUGCCUUCUGUACACACCCAGCUGGAGGUAGGAUUGUGCCGUAAGUGAAUAAGAAAACUGAACAGUGGUAUUAUCUGUCAUCAGAGCAUGGCUGGUCUGUGAUGACAGCUCUAGCCGCAGCAGCAGCAGCCUAGGCACGGGCAGUCUCUGCUAGGCUCCCUUGCUCUGUAGAGUACCUUCCUGUAGACCCGGGUGGUCACUCAGCUUCCCGGGGCGGGGGUGGCGGGGGUGGGGGAGAUAAAAACCAACCCUUGCUUCCUGCUCACUCUGCAUACUCCCCUCCCCACUUUGCUCUCUUAUCGCUCUGCCUCUUAAACUAAGUUGCCUCGAAGGUGUCUAAAGGUGUUUUUCAGGUUACAGCAAAGGAGAUAGUCUUCCAGACUCUGGAGUCAAAAGACACCCAGCCCUGAGCCCUGGUGUGCUCCACCGGGUCCGUCCCCACCACACCCCCAUCCCCAGCUGGUCCUGCCGGAGUGAGAAGCCCAGACAUGUACUGCUUCACAUGCUCACAGAUGGCUUCCCUGCUCAGGGCUGGCUGCUGCUAAUUUUGGCUGCUGGAGGCUCCGUGUGCGCUCUCUCUUUUUUUAAUUCCAUGUUUAUUUAAAGCCAGAUUUUGAAAUCUUGUCUUCAACUCUGAAAUCUGAAAUUGUCUUGCUGCAGAUCUUACCCCUAACCACCAUCCCCCCACGCUCCCCCCCCCACACACACAUAUUGCACAAAGUUUAGGGAGUUUUGAUGAACAACUGGCCAGGGUCUCUUUACAGCAAUCCUGUCGUGUCAGCACAGAAGACAGGAGGGUACCCUACCUCACCCCCUCCAACCCCCGUUCAUGCCUGGUGUUUCCAUGUAAAUGGGGAUGCUGUGCAGAGAGUCUGAUUAGAGGCUACCCUGCUUGGUGCUGCAGGAGGAGCGGACCCGGACAGGACUGGCUCAUUGAUCUCAGUCCUGUAACGGGACCUGGUGUGGCCCAGGUAUCUAGGACCCUAGUGCCAAUCCCCCAACUGGCUCCUCUUACCCAUGAAAGCCUUAGAGGCUCUUCCUGCUCUCUGGGGAAUCAAGUCCACCUAGAGGGGACCUUCCUGGCUUAGGAGAAAAUGUAUGUCCAGCUUGCUGGUAUGUUGACACAACACUGGGCUGCUCUCAGGACACACACAGUGGAACUCUGUCCUCUCACUCUGGGACCCAGAAGAGUCGCUGGCAUGGUGAGUGCUCCAGAGGCACCAGGGCUACACCCCCAUUGCAUGACAUGCAGCUGCCCACCUGCCCUUCUGCCCUCCCACAGCUGCUCUGGGAUGUGCUAGAAGGACUUUGGUGAAGAAUGACCUCGAGGGAGCUGGUCAGGAGCUGAGGUAUAACCGGUUCCAGGAGGAAUGCCUGCACCCGGAAGCAGUGGGGCGGACCUAAGGCACCAACUGGGUUCCCACACCAACCUCUGCCUCUUCCCCACCAGGCCGAGAAAAGGAAGGGUGCCACUUCCACCCUGAGCCAUCUGCAAACCCUGCCAGGCAGGGCCUUUCUAACAUGGAGAGUGUGAAGGGCUGGGACGGUGUUCCUGGCACCUCUGGUCAGACAGGAAGGUGGCUGUGAGAAAAACGAGUGGAGUGUUAAGCUUUGGAAUGUCAUUUCUCCAGCAAGCUCACUUCUCUCAAGGUUGAGAGACAGAGAUCUUUGUAGAGAAGUGUAGAAAACUAGCUGUCCCCCCUGUCCCUGCCAGGAAACUAUGACUCUAAAAGAAUAUGCGAGACAUUUCACCCCCUGUCCAACCAAAGGUCGGCUGAACAGCCUUUCCAAAUGUCACACUGCAACCGCUGCUGGCAGGAAAUCGGGGCUGCCAAAGUGCCCCAGGAUCUGCUGUUGACUCUUACUUCAAGCUGGAGGGUUUGGGGUUUUUGUUUGUUUGUUUGUUUUAUUUUGUUUUCCUGCAGGAGCUAACAAAAUUCUUAAUGCACAGCCUGAGGAGUUGGCUUUCUGAGCCUUGGAGCUGGUGGUGCAGGACUCUGUGUUGUUUUUCCUGCCUUCCUGGGCUCCAAGAGGCCCCAAAGAGAAAGCCCCAUGCUCAGGAUCCAAGGUCAGACGCUUAGGUAGAACAGUUAGGGGACAUUGGAAUUAAACCAUGGUACCUGACAGUUUCCUCAGACAGGCCGUGGGUCAGGUAUCCGCAUCCACUGUUGCUGUUAACCUGGGAGCAGAUGGAGCAGAGCCCACCCAGCUCCUGGCUCCUGGGCAUCCAGCUUGGCUGCUUUUCCCCAGGGCCGCCCUCGUGCUUUGGGUUUUACAAUAGACUGCCACUUCUGGGGCGCUUGCCUAGCAGGGGGCUGGAGGACUCCCUGAAUGCAGCUCCCUCAUCUCGAGGGUUCCCUUCACUGCCCCCUGGUGGAACGUCGACGAAAGGAGACCUGCCGCAGGGCAGGUAAGCGUCGCCAGCUGAGGUGGAAGUGGGACCAGCGGGAGGCUGCGGGCCAGCAGGGGGAGUGCACGGUUCGCGAGACCAGGCUGUACCUAGGAAGGGAGGGGCCCAGCAAUCACAGACUCUUGCCUUGCCCUGUCUCCAGCGGGAAGAAUAAGAUCCUCCCUUCAGGUAGAGGGAGGAAGAGGAGGCAGACAGCUGCUGCAGUGGGCUCUGCUGGAGCCUUUAGAGGGGACGUGAGGGCCGGCCGUACAUUCGCCUGUAAGGCUAUGUACUAUCAACUUCUAGGUCAUUCUUUUCUCUUUUUCCCCUGGGUGUUGUUGCUGUUUUGGAUUUUGGUUAGUUGGUUGCUCCUCUGUUCUUGAGAGAGGCUCUCAUGUAGCCCAGACUGGCCUCAAACUUCAGGACGCUGAGAGGCAUAGACCAACACUCUCCGGCUGAACCACAUGCACAGCCCAGAACUGAUCUUUGCGGUAACCCUUGUACUUGCAAGGAUCUGGCUGCCAUUUUACCCUCUCUUUGGGGGACCCGCGAGGUUGCCGGCUCCCUUAGAUCCUCCUGGACCCACCUUUCCCCCGGUUAUUUUACACCGUAGCCUGUCUGGUGAACACGCAACACGGGAGCUACCGAUUUUAGUUCUGGUUUCCCUGGUGGCUGAUGAGGAGCCUGUCAUCCCCUUCUUUCCUGGGUCCCUGUUGUCGAUGACAAUGACGAUGAUGACAACGAUUUUACCCCACUGAGAACUUCACAUGUGAACGCUGCACAUACAUGACUCCUAAUGCAUGUUCCUCCCAACUCUACCCACACCCCUCACAUCUGUGAUCUUUAGUUACUAUUGUCACAUCUGUUUAAUGUGUGUAUGAACACAUGUGCGCACACACACAAAUAACCCACGAGUUCAUUCUGCUUCGAUUCUAUGUACAUAAGUCCCCGCCGGCCACUUGGAACUGGACAAGAGCCUCCUCUUUUUCAAAAGGAGCCACAGCCUCUACUCCAGUGAGCUAUGUGGGAGGGAGCCUGCAGGUGCCUGGAGACAACCAGCUUGCACCUGGCUGCAGCUCACAGUCUCCACUCUUGACGAAGCGAGACAGAUGCCCACUGACGCAGACACGUGACAGAUCUGAGUCACCAUCUGUGGGUUGUGGCUCCUCACCAGCCCGGCUUGCAGCCUUUAAGUUUGCCACAGUCUGGCCUCGGGCCGAGUCUCCAUCAUCACCUCGGCCGUUUUCCCUGCUGUCUCCUCUCCUUAAGCAGAAACAUGAUGCGAAUGGGUUCCAGAUCUGUACCUGCUGUCACCCCUGCACACACUCCCAGAGCUGAUAUCACAGGUUAGAUCCCGGUGGUACCAGGCCAGAGGCCCCCACACUUCCACCUGUUGGCCACUACAGGGCUUUGCAAAUAAAGUUUUGUUGUUAUUGUUGUUUUAA
Molecule: small RNA, 4835 nt
Filed under: Rattus norvegicus (Norway rat)
Lineage: Eukaryota; Metazoa; Chordata; Mammalia; Rodentia; Muridae
Description: uncharacterized LOC102555825
Source: RNAcentral